AACCGGACCUACAAAGGAUCCACCGGGUCAGUAUCCAACCCACAAAUCCAAAAUACCCAACUCACGAACCCCACACAAAUUCCCGAAAUCGGUUUCCUAAAGCCGAUCACUGUAACUCGUCGGAGAUCCUAAAAAUCACACCGCCGGGACCCACUAAGUAAACUCACCAACUCGUACCACGAGUCACCCACUACCACAAA
This 200-nucleotide long non-coding RNA is filed under the name Ananas comosus (pineapple). Its description in RNAcentral is "long non-coding RNA (ACOM_LNC027871)". Lineage: Eukaryota; Viridiplantae; Streptophyta; Magnoliopsida; Poales; Bromeliaceae. The record is from RNAcentral.